Molecule: long non-coding RNA, 897 nt
Organism: Bombina bombina (fire-bellied toad)
Lineage: Eukaryota; Metazoa; Chordata; Amphibia; Anura; Bombinatoridae
Exons: 6
Source: RefSeq, a predicted model, not a curated record
AAUCUUGGAUUGGAAGAUAAAAUUUGUCACUCACAGUGAGCCCAUCCUCCUCUAGGCGUGGGAGGUGGACAAGCCUCAGAACAAUUGGUAAAACAGACAGGAGAAAAAUUUUACGAUGUGAGGAGAGAGGCCAUAUUGUGAAAAGAGCUCACUUCACCUUAGCUGUUUUCACAAAAGAAAUGCUAUCACUAGAUGAUGCCCACUCAAUACAAGAACACUGUGUGGUGUAUGAUGUGUUGUACAAAGUUUGCGUAGAAGUGGGAGACUACAAGCUUAUCGGGACGACUUAUAGAUUGCAGAGAACUUGAUCAAACGCCUUCAUGCAACUAUUCCUUGAUGGGAACUUGUGACAUCAUGCCAAUUGGCUUGUUGGAAUAUCUGUCCAGUUUCAAAAUGGCUCCAGUGGUUAGAAACCGGUGUUGGCAUGGCAGAAUGGUUUUAUGGAACUGCAAGCAUAUGACAGCUUAAUUUUCUUUCACAUGGUUGUGAGGCCAGUUUGCAGUACUCUGGCGUUUUUGUCCUCUCACCCAGACCUAUUUUUCCAUGUGUGAGGAUAUGGUUGAAGUGAUUUUCGUGUACUGGGGGUUUGAAGUUCCCCCAUGAUUCCUGAGCACCAGACCAGAUCGGAACCAAGUGUAAGCUAACAAUUCCUUGAGGGAGCACUGAGGAGGUUACACCGUGCAGUGUUGUGAGAGAAGCAAGCAAUUCAGCGCGAAGUACAGGUGUUUUCCAGUUGGAGUAUGUGUGUUUUGUGUAACUGCUGCUCUCACAACUUGUGUACCCGUGGAAAGGGAUUGUCCUUGGCGUUCCUGUUUGAACUAUAAGCCUGGCUAUUUAAUAAAAUGAUAUUAAAGUUUCUGAUUAUCUGUUCUAUUAAUAAAGUUGUCACUGAUCUUA